Molecule: transfer RNA, 70 nt
Filed under: Vertigo pusilla
Lineage: Eukaryota; Metazoa; Mollusca; Gastropoda; Stylommatophora; Vertiginidae
Description: tRNA-Ser
Source: RNAcentral
UCUUAGCAUGAAUUUUUAUAUAAUAAAGGAUUUUGAAAAUCUUUGUAGAUAUAUUUUAUAUCAUUUAGUG